This 66-nucleotide small RNA is filed under the name Pseudomonas phage PS-1. RNAcentral describes it as "int-alpA RNA". It matches the Rfam family "int-alpA RNA". From Rfam's summary of the family: Acidobacteria (1 example), Planctomycetes (1 example), Proteobacteria. Environment (Lake Washington) Lineage: Duplodnaviria; Heunggongvirae; Uroviricota; Caudoviricetes. The record is from Rfam by way of RNAcentral.
GGCGUGGCUAGGUUUAGCGGCCGAAAAGGAGUUGUCUCACUCCCUGCCACGUCCUCACAUGAGACG